This 224-nucleotide ribosomal RNA is filed under the name uncultured bacterium. Its description in RNAcentral is "partial 16S ribosomal RNA". It matches the Rfam family "Bacterial small subunit ribosomal RNA", at positions 28 to 253 of the family's 1533-position model. The record is from RNAcentral.
GACGAACGCUGGCGGCGUGCUUAACACAUGCAAGUCGAGCGGUAAGGCUCCUUCGGGAGUACACGAGCGGGCGAACGGGUGAGUAACACGUGAGCAAUCUGCCCAUCUCUUUGGAAUAAGCGUUGGAAACGACGUCUAAUGCCGAAUACGACCUCCUUUCGCAUGAUCGGAGGUGGAAAGCUCCGGCGGAGAUGGAUGAGCUCGCGGCCUAUCAGCUAGUUGGU